AUUGUAGGCAAUUCACUCAUGGUGAUGGGGUUCAGUUAUCUAAAAUCUUUGUUUUUAUCUCUUGGUAAAAGUAUAUUAAAAGCACAGAAAUACUGGGACACACUUGAUUGCUCACAUGCUUUAUUAACUGAGUGCUACCGACACAGCUGCAUUCAAUUUAUCUUCAAUUUCGGAAGACAACAGGACCAGGUUAACAACAAGAGUGCCAGGAAUAUCUUUUGGGACCUCACACUGGAAAUUGUCAAGGUGUAACCCAGGCGCAUAUACUACUUGUCUCUCUUCGUGUAACCCAGACACCUACACAACAGCUCGAAGUUGGCAGCAAGGCCCCCUUUACUGAACAGCGUGAACGGAAAGACCGCCUCCCCAUGUUGGAACUCCGGAUUGCCCAGGAAUGUCAGAAACAAGGAUUUGUGCCCACCUAAAUUCCUAGCACGUCUAAGAAUAUGCCAUAGACGAUAUACCAUCCACAGAAGAGGGUCAUCUUUCAGGUCUUGGUCGAAUUCCGCUUCCACCCCGUGAAGGAAAGAUAUCAGGCCCCCUUUACUGAACAGCGUGAACGGAAAGACCGCCUCCCCAUGUUGGAACUCCGGAUUGCCCAGGAAUGUCAGAAACAAGGAUUUGUACCCACCUAAAUUCCUAGCACGUCUAAGAAUAUGCCAUAGACGAUAUACCAUCCACAGAAGAGGGUCAUCUUUCAGGUCUUGGUCGAAUUCCGCUUCCACCCCGUGAAGGAAAGAUAUCAGGUUUCUGGACCCUACAAAUUGUGCCUCCAGCUGUGUAUUAGUGUAUAUAUCACUAUU
Molecule: long non-coding RNA, 803 nt
Organism: Pseudophryne corroboree (corroboree frog)
Lineage: Eukaryota; Metazoa; Chordata; Amphibia; Anura; Myobatrachidae
Exons: 4
Source: RefSeq, a predicted model, not a curated record